This 1627-nucleotide ribosomal RNA is filed under the name metagenome. RNAcentral's name for it is "bacterial LSU rRNA". It matches the Rfam family "Bacterial large subunit ribosomal RNA", at positions 1296 to 2925 of the family's 2925-position model. The record is from RNAcentral.
CCUGGUAUGAGUAGCGAAAGAGGGGUGAGAAUCCCCUCCACCGAAUGCCUAAGGUUUCCUGAGGAAGGCUCGUCCGCUCAGGGUUAGUCGGGACCUAAGCCGAGGCCGAAAGGCGUAGGCGAUGGACAACAGGUUGAUAUUCCUGUACCACCUCCUCACCAUUUGAGCAAUGGGGGGACGCAGGAGGAUAGGGUAAGCGCGGUAUUGGAUAUCCGCGUCCAAGCAGUUAGGCUGGGAAAUAGGCAAAUCCGUUUCCCAUAAGGCUGAGCUGUGAUGGCGAGCGAAAUAUAGUAGCGAAGUUCCUGAUUCCACACUGCCAAGAAAAGCCUCUAGCGAGGUGAGAGGUGCCCGUACCGCAAGCCGACACAGGUAGGCGAGGAGAGAAUCCUAAGGUGAUCGAGAGAACUCUCGUUAAGGAACUCGGCAAAAUGACCCCGUAACUUCGGGAGAAGGGGUGCUCUGUUAGGGUGCAAGCCCGAGAGAGCCGCAGUGAAUAGGCCCAGGCGACUGUUUAGCAAAAACACAGGUCUCUGCGAAGCCGUAAGGCGAAGUAUAGGGGCUGACGCCUGCCCGGUGCUGGAAGGUUAAGAGGAGCGCUUAGCGUAAGCGAAGGUGCGAAUUGAAGCCCCAGUAAACGGCGGCCGUAACGAUAACGGUCCUAAGGUAGCGAAAUUCCUUGUCGGGUAAGUUCCGACCCACACGAAAGGCGCAACGAUCUGGGCACUGUCUCAACGAGAGACUCGGUGAAAUUAUAGUACCUGUGAAGAUGCAGGUUACCCGCGACAGGACGGAAAGACCCCGUGGAGCUUUACUGCAGCCUGAUAUUGAAUGUUGGUACAGCUUGUACAGGAUAGGUAGGAGCCUUGGAAACCGGAGCGCCAGCUUCGGUGGAGGCAUCGGUGGGAUACUACCCUGGCUGUAUUGACCUUCUAACCCGCCGCCCUUAUCGGGCGGGGAGACAGUGUCAGGUGGGCAGUUUGACUGGGGCGGUCGCCUCCUAAAAGGUAACGGAGGCGCCCAAAGGUUCCCUCAGAAUGGUUGGAAAUCAUUCGCAGAGUGUAAAGGCACAAGGGAGCUUGACUGCGAGACCUACAAGUCGAGCAGGGACGAAAGUCGGGCUUAGUGAUCCGGUGGUUCCGCAUGGAAGGGCCAUCGCUCAACGGAUAAAAGCUACCCCGGGGAUAACAGGCUUAUCUCCCCCAAGAGUCCACAUCGACGGGGAGGUUUGGCACCUCGAUGUCGGCUCAUCGCAUCCUGGGGCUGUAGUCGGUCCCAAGGGUUGGGCUGUUCGCCCAUUAAAGCGGUACGCGAGCUGGGUUCAGAACGUCGUGAGACAGUUCGGUCCCUAUCCGUCGCGGGCGCAGGAAAUUUGAGAGGAGCUGUCCUUAGUACGAGAGGACCGGGAUGGACGCACCGCUGGUGUACCAGUUGUUCUGCCAAGGGCAUCGCUGGGUAGCUAUGUGCGGACGGGAUAAGUGCUGAAAGCAUCUAAGCAUGAAGCCCCCCUCAAGAUGAGAUUUCCCAUUCCGCAAGGAAGUAAGAUCCCUGAAAGAUGAUCAGGUUGAUAGGUCUGAGGUGGAAGUGUGGCGACACAUGGAGCUGACAGAUACUAAUCGAUCGAGGACUU